Molecule: ribosomal RNA, 468 nt
Filed under: uncultured bacterium
Lineage: Bacteria
Description: partial 16S ribosomal RNA
Rfam family: Bacterial small subunit ribosomal RNA
Source: RNAcentral
GAUGAACGCUGGCGGCGUGCUUAACACAUGCAAGUCGAACGGUAAAGCCCAGCUUUCUUGGUGUGUUCGUGUCGCACACGUGUGUGUCACAUGUGUGUCCUCCGCUUUACUCUGUGGUAAAACUUCGGGACUCUGUCUCUUACUCCAGAUGACUUCUCCUCGCGUGUGGUGGGGUUUGGAGAGUUAUUGUGGUUGGGGAUGGACUCGCGGCAUAUCAGCUUGUUGGUGGGGUAGUGGCACACCAAGGCCACGACGGGUAGCCGGCCUGAGAGGGUGACCGGCCACACUGGGACUGAGAUACGGCCCAGACUCCUACGGGAGGCAGCAGUGGGGAAUAUUGCACAAUGGGCGGAAGCCUGAUGCAGCGACGCCGCGUGAGGGAUGACGGCCUUCGGGUUGUAAACCGCUUUCAGUAGGGAAGAAGCGAGAGUGACGGUAACUGCAGAAGAAGCGCCGGCUAACUACGUG